GGAAGCUUGGCAGAGUGGUCGAUUGCACCGGUCUUGAAAACCGGCGAUGGGAAACCAUCCGUGAGUUCGAAUCUCACAGCUUCCGCCA
This 88-nucleotide transfer RNA is filed under the name Variovorax paradoxus. RNAcentral's name for it is "tRNA-Ser". It matches the Rfam family "tRNA". Rfam says of the family: Transfer RNA (tRNA) molecules are approximately 80 nucleotides in length. Their secondary structure includes four short double-helical elements and three loops (D, anti-codon, and T loops). Further hydrogen bonds mediate the characteristic L-shaped molecular structure. tRNAs have two regions of fundamental functional importance: the anti-codon, which is responsible for specific mRNA codon recognition, and the 3' end, to which the tRNAs corresponding amino acid is attached (by aminoacyl-tRNA synthetases). tRNAs cope with the degeneracy of the genetic code in two manners: having more than one tRNA (with a specific anti-codon) for a particular amino acid; and 'wobble' base-pairing, i.e. permitting non-standard base-pairing at the 3rd anti-codon position. RNAcentral also lists the same sequence under 4 other names. The record is from RNAcentral. Lineage: Bacteria; Pseudomonadati; Pseudomonadota; Betaproteobacteria; Burkholderiales; Comamonadaceae.